Molecule: ribosomal RNA, 453 nt
Filed under: uncultured Paraprevotella sp.
Lineage: Bacteria; Pseudomonadati; Bacteroidota; Bacteroidia; Bacteroidales; Prevotellaceae
Description: partial 16S ribosomal RNA
Rfam family: Bacterial small subunit ribosomal RNA
Source: RNAcentral
ACGGAAGGCAGCAGUGAGGAAUAUUGGUCAAUGGGCGAGAGCCUGAACCAGCCAAGUAGCGUGUAGGACGACUGCCCUAUGGGUUGUAAACUACUUUUGUUCGGGAAUAAAGUCAGGUACGUGUACCUGUUUGUAUGUACCGUUCGAAUAAGCAUCGGCUAAUUCCGUGCCAGCAGCCGCGGUAAUACGGAAGAUGCGAGCGUUAUCCGGAUUUAUUGGGUUUAAAGGGAGCGUAGGCGGUCCUUUAAGUCAGCGGUCAAAUGUCGGGGCCCCACCCCGGCCUGCCGUUGAUACUGGAGGACUUGAAUACACACAAGGAAGGUGGAAUUCGUCGUGUAGCGGUGAAAUGCUUAGAUAUGACGAAGAACUCCGAUUGCGAAGGCAGCCUUCUGGAGUGCGAUUGACGCUGAGGCUCGAAAGCGCGGGUAUCAAACAGGAUUAGAUACCCUGGUA